RNAcentral lists this ribosomal RNA (497 nucleotides) under uncultured bacterium. Its description in RNAcentral is "partial 16S ribosomal RNA". It matches the Rfam family "Bacterial small subunit ribosomal RNA", at positions 28 to 507 of the family's 1533-position model. The record is from RNAcentral.
GAUGAACGCUGGCGGCGUGCCUAAUACAUGCAAGUCGAGCGAACAGACGAGGAGCUUGCUCCUCUGACGUUAGCGGAGGACGGGUGAGUAACACGUGGAUAACCUACUUAUAAGACUGGGAUAACUUCGGGAAACCGGAGCUAAUACCGGAUAAUAUAUUGAACCGCAUGGUUCAAUAGUGAAAGACGGUUUUGCUGUCACUUAUAGAUGGAUCCGCGCCGCAUUAGCUAGUUGGUAAGGUAACGGCCUACCAAGGCAACGAUGCGUAGCCGACCUGAGAGGGUGAUAGGCCGCAUGAGAGGUGGAACACGGUCCAGGCGACUGCGGGAGGGAGCAGAAGCGUAUCUUCGGCAAUGGUCGGGAGCCUUACGGAGCGGGUGGACGUGAGAGAUGAAAGUCUUCGGAUCGUGAUACUGUGUUAUGGGGUGUGAACAAAUUUGUAAGGAACUAUGGACGGCUUGACGGUACCGAGUCAGAAAGCCACGGCUAACUACGUG